AGGAAUCACGCUCGCUCUCUUCCUCCCCCCGGGUCGGAAUCCGGCACAUGACAGCAGCUACACCGCGCGGCUCCAACGCCAGCGGGGCUCCAGCCGUUCGCCCCUCGGUACCCCCUCCCCGCCGGAGCGCCAAGGCUACGGCUCCCCACGGGGCGGGGCACCCGGCAGGGAAGGGGCAAACCUCGGGAGCGGCGAGAUCGUGGAGUGCGGUCCUCGACAGAGAAGGGGGGACAAGGAUGAGCGCGGACGCCCGGCUGCCCCUGGCGCAGGGAGGAGCGAGGGGCUAAUUGUUUGGGGUGGUUUUUCCCGGAUUUGCCUGUAAGGACGCAGUCCUCCUCCCGGGUCCCCGAAUCGAGCGGCAAGCUGAGAUGAAGAAACUGAGGCCCAGAGUGUCUAUAUGAUUGGUGAUUUGCCCAAGGUCAUGAAACCAACUAAUCACUAUGUACCACUGAAAAAGGCUACAGGAUUUCUCCACACAGAACAAGGCUUGAUUAUGAAUGGACAGGAAAACCUCUAGUAAUGCAGUUAUUUUCUUAUGUUUCUAAAAUCCAGUGCCUUUCCUGGUGAUGAUGACCACAGAAAACAGUAGAGACAAUAAUGACAAUGAUGUUCAAGAACAAAAAAGGAAUCGAAUAUAACCAAAUGUUCAGCUAUAAUCUCCAUAUGUAAAAAAACAUCAAUAUUUGAACAUUUUAUUUCAUAGAGAACUAAAUUUGGCUGUGAUUAUUCAUAUAAAGGAAUUACUACUUUAGAGAAGGCUUCACUGAAUUAUCCUCUUCUGAUGAGGUUCUCCCAUUCAUUUAAAAUAGGAAUUAAUUUAUAAUGAUGCAAUGAAUAUAUAGCUCCCCCACACCCCUCUGUCCCACAGCACGAAGCCCAGUCAGGCUGCUGAAGUGGCUGUGACCACGGGGUGAUGAGAGUGGGGGUGUCUGCUCACCUCAGCACUCGAGCGUCCCAACUACACAAGGAUUUGUAGGCUCAUCUGUCAAACCACUAUUACCAAUCUUGGUGAAAAUUAUGAAGUGCCAGAAAAAUGCCAAAGAACUAAACAAAACUGCUUCACGU
This is a long non-coding RNA of Phyllostomus discolor (pale spear-nosed bat), 1065 nucleotides long. RefSeq lists it as uncharacterized. The transcript is spliced from 2 exons. The record is from RefSeq and is a predicted model, not a curated record. NCBI's taxonomy places the organism in Eukaryota, Metazoa, Chordata, Mammalia, Chiroptera, Phyllostomidae.